This 1161-nucleotide long non-coding RNA is filed under the name Eptatretus burgeri (inshore hagfish). RNAcentral describes it as "lncRNA (ENSEBUG00000017459.1)". The record is from RNAcentral. Lineage: Eukaryota; Metazoa; Chordata; Myxini; Myxiniformes; Myxinidae.
GGGGGGGUGCCAAAUCAGAAUGCGGAUCAUAACGGAUGAUCCGCUGUGGCGACCCCGAACGGGAGCAGCCGAAAGACGAACAACAACAUUUGUUCUUGCUAUUUAUUCUCAUUUCCUGAAUAUUCCCAUUGAAUGAUCUCGGUGGUCCUUCAGCACAGGUGAUGACCCCCUCAGGCCGCAACCCACAGUCACACAGCACCUCGGGUGCGCAAGACCAACAUUCGAGGAGUCAAACUUCUGGGGGUUCUUCCUCAACGUCAUCGGGGCAUGCGGACCAGAGGCCCCACGUCGGAAUUGCACAGUUUUCUGGCCCGCUAAGUAUAAGCUCAGGUCACCAAAAUUCACGCAUGUCGCAUGCUGCGAGUGGAACUGCGAGAGGACAAUACUAUUAUCUUGGAGAUAACUGGCAUGUCCCAAUGAGCUGGUGGUCCCCUCCAAACGUCACACCAUCAAGGGGCAUCGAUCGUGGUGCGAGUGGUUUUUCCGGAGCACACCAUAUUGAUCUUGGGAAGAGGAGUAAUAUGGGUGAAAGGAUGGAUCGACAUCACUCAGGAAUGGGAGAUCAUUCUGGCAACCAUCCGCCACAAAGACACGGUCCCUCAAGCGGUCCGCUACAGACAAGCUCCGCUUCUGUCGCUCGGCAACCUGGGCAACCACACCUUGAACAUCAGGUUGGGGAAGGAAUUAAAUUGCGUCGGCAUUCUGAAGGGAGAUCAGGCUCUUCCACAGAAGGGAGUCAUACACCUGAUUCUGCAGGUAGUAACACUCGUAAGACAUGGUGCUGAGCCUCCCCAGAAAUGAGAGAUCGGCUUCCUCCAUGUGCGCCACCAAGAGGUUGAGAAAACCAUGGGAUUUAUAUGGAGGGGAUCUCGCACGGAUUUAAAUUUACCAGCUGUUUGGAGAACCUGGAUCUUGUAUUUCACAUGAUGUGUCAUUUUGGUCACGUGGGGAGUCUGUUUUGUGCUCUACGUGGGAUUUGUUGCACAACUUGAUCCAAUGGGGCCGCAAGUCGAUCUGUAAAUCUCUUAUUUGUAACUUGAGUUACCAACACACAAAGUUUUUUCUGAACUCGGUAAUUAAAGUUGUUUGUGUUUAAAUCGUCCUUCGUUCAUCACUUGGUAUUGUCAUUUCAAAAUGUGGAAUAAAAGUUAUGAAUCUGGA